Molecule: ribosomal RNA, 206 nt
Filed under: uncultured delta proteobacterium
Lineage: Bacteria; Deltaproteobacteria
Description: partial 16S ribosomal RNA
Rfam family: Bacterial small subunit ribosomal RNA
Source: RNAcentral
CGCGCAGGCGGUUUGUUAAGUCAGAUGUGAAAGCCCAUGGCUCAACCAUGGACGUGCAUUUGAAACUGGCAAGCUUGAGUAGUGGAGGGGUGGUGGAAUUCCCGGUGUAGAGGUGAAAUUCGUAGAUAUCGGGAGGAAUACCGGUGGCGAAGGCGACCACCUGGCCACAUACUGACGCUGAGGCGCGAAAGCGUGGGGAGCAAACA